Molecule: ribosomal RNA, 253 nt
Filed under: uncultured bacterium
Lineage: Bacteria
Description: partial 16S ribosomal RNA
Rfam family: Bacterial small subunit ribosomal RNA
Source: RNAcentral
AACGUAGGAGACAAACGUUAUCCGGAGUUACUGGGCGUAAAGGGCGUGUAGGCGGUUAGUUAAGUCUGGCGUGAAAGCUCUCGGCUAAACCGGGAGAGGUCGUUGGAUACUGGCUGACUAGAGGACGGUAGAGGCGUGUGGAAUUCCGGGUGUAGUGGUGAAAUGUGUAGAGAUCCGGAGGAACACCAGUGGCGAAGGCGACACGCUGGGCCGUACCUGACGCUAAAGCGCGACAGCAUGGGGAGCAAACGGG